Molecule: long non-coding RNA, 288 nt
Filed under: Lathyrus oleraceus (garden pea)
Lineage: Eukaryota; Viridiplantae; Streptophyta; Magnoliopsida; Fabales; Fabaceae
Description: Pisum sativum (pea) long non-coding RNA (PSAT_LNC009956)
Source: RNAcentral
GGGUAGAGUGGGUUAAAAGGUCCCUAGAGUCAUUGAUCCAACUUGAAAAUUCUAUCGUCGUUACGAAGACUCGUCGGACAAUAAUAUCUCAAGAGAAUUUACUCUAGGAGGGGUCUUCUAUUCGUCCCAACAAGGAAGGCUCCUUGUGGGCCUCCACUACACAACCACCAACUUAAUCUUAUGUUUUUUCUCAGAUCGAGUAGAGAGCCUAUCUCACAAAGUGCCAAUGAUCAGAGAAACCCAAAUAAGACAUAAUCAAUAAACCACAAAACAAUAAUUACAAAAGAA